This 256-nucleotide long non-coding RNA is filed under the name Homo sapiens (human). RNAcentral describes it as "HSALNT0251075". The record is from RNAcentral. Lineage: Eukaryota; Metazoa; Chordata; Mammalia; Primates; Hominidae.
GGCAGGUAGGUUUCAUGGGUGUUUCAAGAGUGGAGUCUGACGUCACGGUUUGUCUGGGUGGAACAUGCAUGUACUUGCAGAGAUAUGUUCCCGUAUAGUGUAAUUGUAGGUGUAUUAAUUCAGGUGUCACCCUUUGGUGAUAGUAAUCAAACCCUAAUCAUGGUGCCGCCACAAGUCACAGAGACCAAAAUAACUUGCAGCAGAGUUAUGACAAACAAGGAUGGAAUCAGCUAAAGACCUGGCUACUUAAUCACCG